GAUCCCUUAGCUCAGCGGUAGAGCGUCUGAUUCCAGUUAGGCAUCCAGAAGGUCAUCCGUUCAAUCCGGGUAGGGGUCA
Molecule: transfer RNA, 79 nt
Filed under: Marasmius oreades (fairy-ring Marasmius)
Lineage: Eukaryota; Fungi; Basidiomycota; Agaricomycetes; Agaricales; Marasmiaceae
Rfam family: tRNA
About the family: Transfer RNA (tRNA) molecules are approximately 80 nucleotides in length. Their secondary structure includes four short double-helical elements and three loops (D, anti-codon, and T loops).
Source: Rfam by way of RNAcentral